RNAcentral lists this small RNA (3915 nucleotides) under Pan troglodytes (chimpanzee). RNAcentral's name for it is "processed transcript". The record is from RNAcentral. Lineage: Eukaryota; Metazoa; Chordata; Mammalia; Primates; Hominidae.
GGACCUCCUGCAGUGCUUGUUAAAACGACCGAUUCCGGGGCUCCCUUCAGAAUUCUUGAGCAUCUAUGGGUCUUGCAGAUAUGAUGUCUCCUGGUGAAUCCAAACUGCCCCUGCCUCUCAAAGCAGACGGCAAAGAAGAAGGCACUCCACAGCCCGAGAGCAAGUCAAAGAAGUCCAGCUCCUCCACCACUACUGGGGAGAAGAUCACGAAGGUGUACGAGCUGGGGAAUGAGCCAGAGAGAAAGCUCUGGGUCGACCGAUACCUCACCUUCAUGGAAGAGAGAGGCUCUCCUGUCUCGAGUCUGCCUGCUGUGGGCAAGAAGCCCCUGGACCUGUUCCGACUCUACGUCUGCGUCAAAGAGAUCGGGGGUUUGGCCCAGGUUAAUAAAAACAAGAAGUGGCGUGAGCUGGCAACCAACCUAAACGUUGGCACCUCAAGCAGUGCAGCGAGCUCCCUGAAAAAGCAGUAUAUUCAGUACCUGUUUGCCUUUGAGUGCAAGAUCGAACGUGGGGAGGAGCCCCCGCCGGAAGUCUUCAGCACCGGGGACACCAAAAAGCAGCCCAAGCUCCAGCCGCCAUCUCCUGCUAACUCGGGAUCCUUGCAAGGCCCACAGACCCCCCAGUCAACUGGCAGCAAUUCCAUGGCAGAGGUUCCAGGUGACCUGAAGCCACCUACCCCAGCCUCCACCCCUCACGGCCAGAUGACCCCAUUGCAAGGUGGAAGAAGCAGUACAAUCAGUGUGCACGACCCAUUCUCAGACGUGAGUGAUUCAUCCUUCCCGAAACGGAACUCCAUGACUCCAAACGCCCCCUACCAGCAGGGCAUGAGCAUGCCCGAUGUGAUGGGCAGGAUGCCCUAUGAGCCCAACAAGGACCCCUUUGGGGGAAUGAGAAAAGUGCCUGGAAGCAGCGAGCCCUUUAUGACGCAAGGACAGAUGCCCAACAGCAGCAUGCAGGACAUGUACAACCAAAGUCCCUCCGGAGCAAUGUCUAACCUGGGCAUGGGGCAGCGCCAGCAGUUUCCCUAUGGAGCCAGUUACGACCGAAGGCAUGAACCUUAUGGGCAGCAGUAUCCAGGCCAAGGCCCUCCCUCGGGACAGCCGCCGUAUGGAGGGCACCAGCCCGGCCUGUACCCACAGCAGCCGAAUUACAAACGCCAUAUGGACGGCAUGUACGGGCCCCCAGCCAAGCGCCACGAGGGCGACAUGUACAACAUGCAGUACAGCAGCCAGCAGCAGGAGAUGUACAACCAGUACGGAGGCUCCUACUCGGGCCCGGACCGCAGGCCCAUCCAGGGCCAGUACCCGUAUCCCUACAGCAGGGAGAGGAUGCAGGGCCCGGGGCAGAUCCAGACACACGGAAUCCCGCCUCAGAUGAUGGGCGGCCCGCUGCAGUCGUCCUCCAGUGAGGGGCCUCAGCAGAAUAUGUGGGCAGCACGCAAUGAUAUGCCUUAUCCCUACCAGAACAGGCAGGGCCCUGGCGGCCCUACACAGGCGCCCCCUUACCCAGGCAUGAACCGCACGGACGAUAUGAUGGUACCCGAUCAGAGGAUAAAUCAUGAGAGCCAGUGGCCUUCUCACGUCAGCCAGCGUCAGCCUUAUAUGUCGUCCUCAGCCUCCAUGCAGCCCAUCACACGCCCACCACAGCCGUCCUACCAGACGCCACCGUCACUGCCAAAUCACAUCUCCAGGGCGCCCAGCCCAGCGUCCUUCCAGCGCUCCCUGGAGAACCGCAUGUCUCCAAGCAAGUCUCCCUUUCUGCCGUCUAUGAAGAUGCAGAAGGUCAUGCCCACGGUCCCCACAUCCCAGGUCACCGGGCCACCACCCCAACCACCCCCAAUCAGAAGGGAGAUCACCUUUCCUCCUGGCUCAGUAGAAGCAUCACAACCAGUCUUGAAACAAAGGCGAAAGAUUACCUCCAAAGAUAUCGUUACUCCUGAGGCGUGGCGUGUGAUGAUGUCCCUUAAAUCAGGUCUUUUGGCUGAGAGUACGUGGGCUUUGGACACUAUUAAUAUUCUUCUGUAUGAUGACAGCACUGUUGCUACUUUCAAUCUCUCCCAGUUGUCUGGAUUUCUCGAACUUUUAGUCGAGUACUUUAGAAAAUGCCUGAUUGACAUUUUUGGAAUUCUUAUGGAAUAUGAAGUGGGAGACCCCAGCCAAAAAGCACUUGACCACAACGCAGCAAGGAAGGAUGACAGCCAGUCCUUGGCGGACGAUUCUGGGAAAGAGGAGGAAGAUGCUGAAUGUAUUGAUGACGACGAGGAAGACGAGGAGGAUGAGGAGGAAGACAGCGAGAAGACAGAAAGCGAUGAAAAGAGCAGCAUCGCUCUGACUGCCCUGGACGCCGCUGCAGACCCAAAGGAGAAGCCCAAGCAAGCCAGUAAGUUCGACAAGCUGCCAAUAAAGAUAGUCAAAAAGAACAACCUGUUUGUUGUUGACCGAUCUGACAAGUUGGGGCGUGUGCAGGAGUUCAAUAGUGGCCUUCUGCACUGGCAGCUCGGCGGGGGCGACACCACCGAGCACAUUCAGACUCACUUUGAGAGCAAGAUGGAAAUUCCUCCUCGCAGGCGCCCACCUCCCCCCUUAAGCUCCGCAGGUAGAAAGAAAGAGCAAGAAGGCAAAGGCGACUCUGAAGAGCAGCAAGAGAAAAGCAUCAUAGCAACCAUCGAUGACGUCCUCUCUGCUCGGCCAGGGGCAUUGCCUGAAGACGCAAACCCUGGGCCCCAGACCGAAAGCAGUAAGUUUCCCUUUGGUAUCCAGCAAGCCAAAAGUCACCGGAACAUCAAGCUGCUGGAGGACGAGCCCAGGAGCCGAGACGAGACUCCUCUGUGUACCAUCGCGCACUGGCAGGACUCGCUGGCUAAGCGAUGCAUCUGUGUGUCCAAUAUUGUCCGUAGCUUGUCAUUCGUGCCUGGCAAUGAUGCCGAAAUGUCCAAACAUCCAGGCCUGGUGCUGAUCCUGGGGAAGCUGAUUCUUCUUCACCACGAGCAUCCAGAGAGAAAGCGAGCACCGCAGACCUAUGAGAAAGAGGAGGACGAGGACAAGGGGGUGGCCUGCAGCAAAGAUGAGUGGUGGUGGGACUGCCUCGAGGUCUUGAGGGAUAACACGUUGGUCACGUUGGCCAACAUUUCCGGGCAGCUAGACUUGUCUGCUUACACGGAAAGCAUCUGCUUGCCAAUUUUGGAUGGCUUGCUGCACUGGAUGGUGUGCCCGUCUGCAGAGGCACAAGAUCCCUUUCCAACUGUGGGACCCAACUCGGUCCUGUCGCCUCAGAGACUUGUGCUGGAGACCCUCUGUAAACUCAGUAUCCAGGACAAUAAUGUGGACCUGAUCUUGGCCACUCCUCCAUUUAGUCGUCAGGAGAAAUUCUAUGCUACAUUAGUUAGGUACGUUGGGGAUCGCAAAAACCCAGUCUGUCGAGAAAUGUCCAUGGCGCUUUUAUCGAACCUUGCCCAAGGGGACGCACUAGCAGCAAGGGCCAUAGCUGUGCAGAAAGGAAGCAUUGGAAACUUGAUAAGCUUCCUAGAGGAUGGGGUCACGAUGGCCCAGUACCAGCAGAGCCAGCACAACCUCAUGCACAUGCAGCCCCCGCCCCUGGAACCACCUAGCGUAGACAUGAUGUGCAGGGCGGCCAAGGCUUUGCUAGCCAUGGCCAGAGUGGACGAAAACCGCUCGGAAUUCCUUUUGCACGAGGGCCGGUUGCUGGAUAUCUCGAUAUCAGCUGUCCUGAACUCUCUGGUUGCAUCUGUCAUCUGUGAUGUACUGUUUCAGAUUGGGCAGUUAUGACAUAAGUGAGAAGGCAAGCAUGUGUGAGUGAAGAUUAGAGGGUCACAUAUAACUGGCUGUUUUCUGUUCUUGUUUAUCCAGCGUAGGAAGAAGGAAAAGAAAAUCUUUGCUCCUCUGCCCCAUUCACUAU